AAACUCUACAAAGCUUUAUCAGCUUGGAGAUGAUUCCUGCCAGAUUUGCCAGGGUACUGCUUGCUCUGGCCCUCAUUUUGCCAGGGACCCUUUGUGCAGAAGGAACUCGCGGCAGGUCAUCCAUGGCCCGAUGCAGCCUCUUCGGAAAUGACUUCGUCAACACCUUUGAUGGGAGCAUGUACAGCUUUGCGGGAUACUGCAGUUACCUCCUGGCAGGGGGCUGCCAGAAACGCUCCUUCUCGAUUAUUGGGGACUUCCAGAAUGGCAAGAGAGUGAGCCUCUCCGUGUAUCUUGGGGAAUUUUUUGACAUCCAUUUGUUUGUCAAUGGUACCGUGACACAGGGGGACCAAAGAGUCUCCAUGCCCUAUGCCUCCAAAGGGCUGUAUCUAGAAACUGAGGCUGGGUACUACAAGCUGUCCGGUGAUCGCCUCUUAUGCCCACCUCUGUCGGACCAACGGGGUCUGCGUUGACUGGA
RNAcentral lists this small RNA (475 nucleotides) under Pan troglodytes (chimpanzee). Its description in RNAcentral is "processed transcript". The record is from RNAcentral. Lineage: Eukaryota; Metazoa; Chordata; Mammalia; Primates; Hominidae.